UUUAUUUUAUACUUACAUAAUUUUUUAUUUUUAUUUAUUUUUAAUUUAAAUAAUUUUAUGAAUUUAUUGUUUUUGUAUUUUUUAGAUUAAAUAAUUUUAGUAAUAGUAAAUUAGUACAGUGUUGGAUUGUUUAAUAAAAAUUUUUAUUUAUAAUUAAAGUAAAUUUAAUUUGUUGUACCUUUUGUAUCAGGGUUUAUUUAUAUUUAAAUAUAUAAUAUAUUUAUCCCGAAUUUGGUAGAGCUAAAUUUAUAUGAAAUUCUUUGUUUCAAAAAAGUUUUUAAUUUAAAUUUAGUAAUGAAAUAUUAAACGGUACCUAAUAUAUCUGGUUUUUCAAGAUUUUAAUUUAAUUAAUUUAUUUAUUUUGCAAUUUGGUUUUGUUAAAAAUUUUUUGCAAUUAAAUAAAAUAUUUUUUUGGGAUAAGCUAAGGAAAUAUUUUUUAUAAUAAUCUAAUUUUUAAUAAUAAAUAGGAUUAGAAAUUUCCAUUUUUUGUUAAAGUGUUAUAAUUAAUUUUAUUUAUAAAAUUAACUUUUUUUUUAUUUAAUUUUUUAUUGAAAUAUUCGUUUUAAUUAUAUUUUUUUGUAAUAAUGAUAAAAUUAGUAUUAUUUAUUUUAAUAAUAUAAAUUAUUAUAAAGAUUGAAGUAAGGAAUUCAGCAAUUUUUAUACUCGCCUGUUUAUCAAAAACAUGUCUUUUUGAUUAUAAUUUAAAGUCUAGUCUGCCCACUGAAGUAUUUUUAAGGGCCGCAGUAUUUUGACUGUGCAAAGGUAGCAUAAUCAUUUGCCUUUUAAUUAGAGGCUGGAAUGAAUGGCUGGACGAAGUAUAUACUGUCUCAUUUUAAAAAAAAUAAAAAUUUAACUUUUGAGUCAAAAGGCUUAAAUUUGUUUAGAGGACGAGAAGACCCUAUAGAUCUUUAUAGACUUUUAUAUAAAAAUUUAUAGAGAAAAAUUAUUUUUUAUACAAAAGUUUAUUUUGUUGGGGUGACAUUAAGAUUAAUUUAACUCUUAAAGUGUAAAAACAUUAAUUUAUGAAUUUUUGAUCCAUUAUUAUUGAUUAUUAGAAUAAGUUACCUUAGGGAUAACAGCGUAAUUUUAUUGGAGAGUUCUAAUCGAUAAUGAAGAUUGCGACCUCGAUGUUGAAUUAAAGAUAUUUCUGGGUGCAGAAGCUUGGAGAAAUGGGUCUGUUCGACCUUUAAAUCUUUACAUGAUUUGAGUUCAGACCGGCGUGAGCCAGGUCGGUUUCUAUCCUUAAUUAAUUACCUUGAUUUAGUACGAAAGGACCAUUUAGGGAAAAUAUUUUUUUAUUAUUGAUUACAAUUAAUUUUU
This 1320-nucleotide ribosomal RNA is filed under the name Ascalohybris subjacens. RNAcentral describes it as "16S ribosomal RNA". The stretch from base 621 to 1320 matches the Rfam family "Archaeal large subunit ribosomal RNA", at positions 1423 to 2810 of the family's 2987-position model. The record is from RNAcentral. Lineage: Eukaryota; Metazoa; Arthropoda; Insecta; Neuroptera; Myrmeleontidae.